This 156-nucleotide ribosomal RNA is filed under the name Martiniozyma asiatica (nom. inval.). Its description in RNAcentral is "Martiniozyma asiatica 5.8S ribosomal RNA". It matches the Rfam family "5.8S ribosomal RNA". From Rfam's summary of the family: 5.8S ribosomal RNA (5.8S rRNA) is a component of the large subunit of the eukaryotic ribosome. It is transcribed by RNA polymerase I as part of the 45S precursor that also contains 18S and 28S rRNA. The record is from RNAcentral. Lineage: Eukaryota; Fungi; Ascomycota; Pichiomycetes; Pichiales; Pichiaceae.
AAACUUUCAACAACGGAUCUCUUGGUUCCCGCAUCGAUGAAGAGCGCAGCGAAAUGCGAUAAUUAAUGUGAAUUGCAGGCAUCGUGAAUCAUCGAGUUCUUGAACGCACAUUGCGCCCUGUGGUAUUCCGCAGGGCAUGCUUGUUUGAGCGUCGUU